Small nuclear RNA from Sciurus vulgaris (Eurasian red squirrel), 107 nucleotides. NCBI's taxonomy places the organism in Eukaryota, Metazoa, Chordata, Mammalia, Rodentia, Sciuridae. The record is from Ensembl.
GUACUUAUUUCAGUAGCACAUAGACUAAACUUGUAACCAUGCAGAAGAGACAAGCAUGGUCCCUGCACAAGGAUGGCAUGCAGACUCAUGCACAUUCCAUUUUUUCU